This 253-nucleotide ribosomal RNA is filed under the name uncultured prokaryote. Its description in RNAcentral is "partial 16S ribosomal RNA". It matches the Rfam family "Bacterial small subunit ribosomal RNA", at positions 524 to 776 of the family's 1533-position model. The record is from RNAcentral.
UACGUAGGGUGCGAGCGUUAAUCGGAAUUACUGGGCGUAAAGCGUGCGCAGGCGGUUAUGUAAGACAGAUGUGAAAUCCCCGGGCUUAACCUGGGAACUGCGUUUGUGACUGCAUAACUAGAGUACGGCAGAGGGGGGUGGAAUUCCUGGUGUAGCAGUGAAAUGCGUAGAUAUCGAGAGGAACACCAGUGGCGAAGGCGAGUCUCUGGACAAUUCCUGACACUGAUGCUCGAAAGCUAGGGGAGCAAACGGG